RNAcentral lists this microRNA precursor (69 nucleotides) under Tursiops truncatus (common bottlenose dolphin). Its description in RNAcentral is "miRNA (ENSTTRG00000024732.1)". Lineage: Eukaryota; Metazoa; Chordata; Mammalia; Artiodactyla; Delphinidae. The record is from RNAcentral.
UGGUUUGGCCAAAAAGUUCAUUCGGGUUUUUCUGUAAGCUGUUACAGAACGAACUUUUUGGCCAACCCA